RNAcentral lists this ribosomal RNA (497 nucleotides) under uncultured bacterium. RNAcentral's name for it is "partial 16S ribosomal RNA". It matches the Rfam family "Bacterial small subunit ribosomal RNA", at positions 28 to 507 of the family's 1533-position model. The record is from RNAcentral.
GAUGAACGCUGGCGGCGUGCCUAAUACAUGCAAGUCGAGCGAACAGACGAGGAGCUUGCUCCUCUGACGUUAGCGGCGGACGGGUGAGUAACACGUGGAUAACCUACCUAUAAGACUGGGAUAACUUCGGGAAACCGGAGCUAAUACCGGAUAAUAUAUUGAACCGCAUGGUUCAAUAGUGAAAGACGGUUUUGCUGUCACUUAUAGAUGGAUCCGCGCCGCAUUAGCUAGUUGGUAAGGUAACGGCUUACCAAGGCAACGAUGCUUAGCCGACCUGAGAGGGUGGUCGGCCACACUGGAACUGAGACACGGUCCAGACUCCUACGGGGGGCAGCAGAAGGGAAUCUUCCGCAAUGGUCGAAAGCCUGACGGAGCAACGCCGCGUGGGUGAAGAAGGUCUUCGGAUCGUAAAACUCUGUUAUUAGGGAAGAACAAAUGUGUAAGUAACUAUGCACGUCUUGACGGUACCUAAUCAGAAAGCCACGGCUAACUACGUG